UACGAAGGGUGCAAACGUUGCUCGGAAUCAUUGGGCGUAAAGCGCACGUAGGCGGCCCGAUAAGUCGGAUGUGAAAUCCCUCGGCUCAACCGAGGACGUGCAUUCGAAACUGUCGGGCUCGAGUAUGGAAGAGGGUCGCGGAAUUCCCGGUGUAGAGGUGAAAUUCGUAGAUAUCGGGAGGAACACCAGUGGCGAAGGCGGCGACCUGGGCCAAUACUGACGCUCAUGCACGAAAGCGUGGGGAGCAAACAGG
Molecule: ribosomal RNA, 253 nt
Filed under: uncultured bacterium
Lineage: Bacteria
Description: partial 16S ribosomal RNA
Rfam family: Bacterial small subunit ribosomal RNA
Source: RNAcentral